UUCAAAUUAAGUUUGUUUCUGUUUGUGUAUGAAAUAAAAUCGAGGUUCGAAACACAAUAUUUUUAAAUAUUGAAAAAAAGUUUAUGAAAUUUAAUUUGUUUUGAUAAUAUUUGACUCUACCAAAAAAUUUUGAAAGAUGUUUCGUAUGCCACCACAAAUGGACCCAGAGGAGGAGUCCAAAAGAGCACGAGAAGCAGUAAAAUCUAAUGUUUUAACCUUUAUAUUACUUUGCGCUGUAAUAAGAAUAGCUCCAAUGGUUAUAGACAAGAUUGGAAUGGAUUGAUGAAUCAGCACUAAGAUAUGUAAAUUUUAAUUAUAAAUAUUAGUUUUACGUAAAUAGUUACAUACAUAAGUAUAAUGAUUAGUAAUUUUUGAAUUGAAAAAAUUAUAUUUGUUAUUUUCGAAUCACUUUUAUCAAGAUUCAUAAUAAAAAUUACUUUCAAACCAUA
Molecule: long non-coding RNA, 449 nt
Organism: Condylostylus longicornis
Lineage: Eukaryota; Metazoa; Arthropoda; Insecta; Diptera; Dolichopodidae
Exons: 2
Source: RefSeq, a predicted model, not a curated record